GCCCUGAUAGCUCAGUGGUAGAGCGUCGAACACAUAUUCGAAGGUCGUAGGUUCGAUUCCUGCUCACGGCA
Molecule: non-coding RNA, 71 nt
Organism: Rhipicephalus microplus (southern cattle tick)
Lineage: Eukaryota; Metazoa; Arthropoda; Arachnida; Ixodida; Ixodidae
Source: the annotation of a RefSeq genome assembly